UACGUAGGGUGCAAGCGUUAAUCGGAAUUACUAGGCGUAAAGCGUGCGCAGGCGGUUUGUAAGUCUGUCGUGAAAUCCCCGGGCUCAACCUGGGAAUUGCGAUGGAGACUGCAAGGCUAGAAUCUGGCAGAGGGGGGUAGAAUUCCACGUGUAGCAGUGAAAUGCGUAGAGAUGUGGAGGAACACCGAUGGCGAAGGCAGCCCCCUGGGUCAAGAUCGACGCU
RNAcentral lists this ribosomal RNA (223 nucleotides) under uncultured bacterium. RNAcentral describes it as "partial 16S ribosomal RNA". It matches the Rfam family "Bacterial small subunit ribosomal RNA", at positions 524 to 747 of the family's 1533-position model. The record is from RNAcentral.